RNAcentral lists this unclassified non-coding RNA (368 nucleotides) under Hevea brasiliensis (rubber tree). The record is from RNAcentral. Lineage: Eukaryota; Viridiplantae; Streptophyta; Magnoliopsida; Malpighiales; Euphorbiaceae.
AUUCAAAUUAAAAAUCAACUAAAAUUUCAUGAAGAUAUUCUCAAAUUAUAUUAAUUAACAAAAUUCUUCAAAUAUGUACAUCAACAUAUGAUUACAUAAAUUUACUAAUUUACAUGAGUUCAUAAUUUACAAAUCACAAACUACUACCUAUUACAAAAUGUAAAAACAUAAUUUCAAAAGGGACCUAAAAGUCCUACUACUGAUGCACUGUAGAUGAAAGGUGACUCUGACGCUAGGCAGAUCUGUGACCUCACCCAGUCUGUGGUCUGCUGGGCUCUUUGUCUGUCUCUCCAGAACCAUUUCUUUAUGCAGUUCCGGCUAUCAACCUUUCCCGUUGAUCAAAUUUUUUUGACCUUUACAAUGCCAAA